AGUGAACGCUGGCGGUAGGCCUAACACAUGCAAGUCGAACGGCAGCACAGUAAGAGCUUGCUCUUACGGGUGGCGAGUGGCGGACGGGUGAGGAAUACAUCGGACUCUACUUUUUCGUGGGGGAUAACGUAGGGAAACUUACGCUAAUACCGCAUCCGACCUACGGGUGAAAGCAGGGGAUCUUCGGACCUUGCGCGAUUGAAUGAGCCGAUGUCGGAUUAGCUAGUUGGCGGGGUAAAGGCCCACCAAGGCGACGAUCCGUAGCUGGUCUGAGAGGAUGAUCAGCCACACUGGAACUGAGACACGGUCCAGACUCCUACGGGAGGCAGCAGUGGGGAAUAUUGGACAAUGGGCGCAAGCCUGAUCCAGCCAUACCGCGUGGGUGAAGAAGGCCUUCGGGUUGUAAAGCCCUUUUGUUGGGAAAGAAAAGCAGCAGGUUAAUACCCCGCUGUUCUGACGGUACCCAAAGAAUAAGCACCGGCUAACUUCGUG
This 492-nucleotide ribosomal RNA is filed under the name uncultured bacterium. Its description in RNAcentral is "partial 16S ribosomal RNA". It matches the Rfam family "Bacterial small subunit ribosomal RNA", at positions 29 to 507 of the family's 1533-position model. The record is from RNAcentral.